AAUGCUAAAGCUCAAGGCUGUUCAGAUAUAACAGGAGUGCUGGAAAUGAGGUACAAAAUGCUGGAAUUCAAAUUAACCAAUAAAUAUAUUUUAAUAUAUAUCAGCAGGACUCUAGAGGAUUCCAUUAAUGUUGAAAAAUAGAAAGGAUUUAGGUUAAUUUGGUAAGAAGGCAGGUCAGAACGUUUACAACAGUGGUAUAGAAUUGUAUAGAGAUGCAAAAUUUUUCAAGAGAGCAGAAUUUUUUCAAAAACGCUGACUCUAGCUGUCACAGCCCUGCCUUG
Molecule: long non-coding RNA, 281 nt
Filed under: Homo sapiens (human)
Lineage: Eukaryota; Metazoa; Chordata; Mammalia; Primates; Hominidae
Description: non-protein coding lnc-TTC14-4:1
Source: RNAcentral